CAUCUCAGUUUGCCCUUUUCUCCCACGCACAGCAGACCUCCCAAAACCCAUCUCUCAAUCUUCAAAACCCCCUUUCUUCGCAAGAAGGAGAAUAAGAAGGAGAAUGAGAAGAAGAUCUUUGUAUAGGUAGAGCCAUUUCUCACGGCCGUGGCAAUCAUCGAACACGAUGGAAGCGUAUGGCUCAGAGCGAGACUUUCCCUCAGGCACACUGAAAAAGUUGCUUGUGCUGACGGAGAGCUGUGUAGGGAAAAAAUCACCAGAUCCACCCUGACCAUUAGGUGUAGUCACAUUUUCACCAAGGAUCCUAAGAAUCAGUCAAAUCCAAGAGUUAGGCAUGCUGCACCAUAGGGAGCGGUGGAAGCAUCCUGUACUUGGCCAACAUGUGCUUGAUGUUGCAAAGGUCAGUCCCUCACAGUUUGAAGCUCAUGUUGGUUGUGCUUCUAAGCAGAAACCAUUUUGGAGAUCUUCUGCUUUGUGAUGGAUGCCCCAGGGCCUUUCACCAGGACGAUUUUUACAAAGUUGGGC
Long non-coding RNA from Magnolia sinica, 525 nucleotides. RefSeq lists it as uncharacterized. The record is from RefSeq and is a predicted model, not a curated record. NCBI's taxonomy places the organism in Eukaryota, Viridiplantae, Streptophyta, Magnoliopsida, Magnoliales, Magnoliaceae. The transcript has 5 exons.